Molecule: transfer RNA, 74 nt
Rfam family: tRNA
About the family: Transfer RNA (tRNA) molecules are approximately 80 nucleotides in length. Their secondary structure includes four short double-helical elements and three loops (D, anti-codon, and T loops).
GCAUAAGUAGCUUAGUUGGAUAAAGCGUCGGUCUACGAAACCGGAGAUCGCAGGUUCGAGUCCUGUCUUGUGCA